AUUAUUUUGACAGAAAAAAUGUGUUAAAUUUAGAAUUUAAUUAUAUGUUUAUUAAUAAACAUAAAUAAUA
This 70-nucleotide transfer RNA is filed under the name Micrasema sp. XG-2021. RNAcentral describes it as "tRNA-Leu". Lineage: Eukaryota; Metazoa; Arthropoda; Insecta; Trichoptera; Brachycentridae. The record is from RNAcentral.